GGCAGUGAGCCAGACCAGCUGGCUUGCAUCUUCUGUUUGGCUAAACCGGUUCCUCCCGUGCUCGGUUAGCACCGUCCCAGGAAUGGGGGCAGGAGGGUGUUCUCCCAGGAGGCUAGGGCUUCCGAGGGACGGCACGAGACACCCCAGAGCUGUGCCGGUCGGAGUUUCUCGUCCCCCCACCUGCUUCCCCUCAGACACGGAGGUGGCCUCCCUCACAGACAGGCCGACCGUGAUGCCAGGUUGGAGCCCCUGGUGCCCCCAGGUGCCCCCUGCCUUCCCUUCCUCCCCCCAGCCACGGCUGAGACCUCACCGACGUGCCCCUGGGACAGCAUGAUGCCUUUGUUACCCAGUCUAAGCUCUGGCCGCCUGCCGCACGACAGGCCAGGCAGGAGGGGUUGAGGUCGGGAGCUGAGAGCGGACCUCAGACCUCGGGACGUCGGCCAGGGUGUGAGGAGGGCGGUCAGGUGACUCCAGGCAUUUUGCUGACGUGGGUCUGGCCACAAUGUUCCCGGAAGUGCCUGACGGUCCCGUCUUCAUUUCUGUCCGUGCGUCCUCGUCUCCUCGGGCAGCCCACCUGCAGGGCCGCAGGGCGGAGCAGAAGCAGAAGAUUAAGCGGCAGAGGAGACGGACAGUGUGAAGGCAGAGAUGCCGGCGUUUCCACUUGGUCACACCUCCUUCUCCCAGAUGAGAGACUCUCCUGGAGCUCUUGAGUGGGUGCACCUCUGGCCGAGGCACGAAGGGCCCUUUGCUGGUGGCCCCAAUUCUGUGCCUCAGGCGUCCCAGGCGCUGCUUCCUCAAAGUCCCACACCCCAGGGCCUUACUGCCGCUGUGCCUCUGUCUGGAAGGUUCUUCCAUGACCCCUACUCUCUGUCUGCUAAAAACUAACAUGCUUUCCUGGUUCACCCAAACGGUGCCCCCACCUGGCCAGUGUCUGACCCCGACCCUGGGCCUCUGCUGUUGUUCAUGCGCUGGACUCCUGGACGGGCUGUGGAGGUCCCCAGGGGCAGGGCCAACGUCAUGGCCACCUCUUUAUGCCCAGUGCCCAGCAAGUGACUUACCUGCUCUGUGGCUCAGUUUCUACUCCUGCAAAAUGGGUUAAUAACAGGACUUAUGUCAUAGGGCUGCCAGGGGGACAAAAUGAGUUAACGUCCGUAAUGCAAGCAGCCCCUGGCACAGUGUGGGUGAGGGUCAGGGCCUGUGUCAGCUCCCCGGGGCCUCUGCACAGAACACACAGCUGGGUGGGCGUGGAGACCCGUCUCCCCGCAGUCUGGAGGCGGGAAGUCCGAGAUGAAGGUGCGGGCAGGCUGGUUCUCUGAGCCUCUCUCCUUGGCACGUGGACGGCCGUCUCCUCACGUGGUUGUCUCUGCGCAUGUCUGUGUCCUAAUCUCUUACUAUAGGGACCCCAGUCAGAUUGGAUCAGGGCCCACCUGAUGACCUCAUUCGAUCUUCAUCACCUCUUUAAAGACCCAGUCUCUGAUUACAGCCCCAUUCUGAAGACCUGGGCAUUAGGACUUCAACACGUGGGUGUGGGUGGGGACACAGCUCAGCCUAUCACAGGUCCUCACUGAUAUUUGUGCGGUGAAUGAAUGGAAUUAUGCAAACGAGAUGCUUCCUUUCUGCUCAGGAAAUCACAGUUGCCUCAAAGAGCUGGUCCCUGUUACAUAUUCAGGGAGAGUUGCAAAUCUUCCUGUAUAGGAGUCUUUAUGCACGCUGUUUCCCACCGGUGAGCCUGUGUGUGCCUGUGCAGGGCACCUCCUUUUGAGGAGAGAAACCUCCGUAAGAGAGGUGACUCCACAGCAAGCCAGGAGCAGAAGGGAUGGGAAAGCAUUUAUUCCCUUGAGAAUUUGGUUUCUGGGCCCUGAGCUCCGUCCCCACCUGGGAUUCGAAUGGGAAAGCAGGAAGGGGGCUUGUCAGUGCAAACCCUUGGAUUUUCACUUUUGUCAAUGGAAGACUCCCGGCCCUUGGGAUUGCGGAGGUGGAGAACCUGUGGCUCCGCUGCCGCCGUCCCGGCUGUCGUCGCAACACGGUUAGCACUAGGCUUGGGGGCCUCGGACCUCACUCCCCGCUCCUCCCUGACAUUUGUCAGUCGUUUGACCUUGACAAAGCCCUUCACUGCUCUGGCUCCAUUUUGCCUGCUGGGAGGGAUGCUUGCUUCCCGAGAUGAUGAGGGGUGGUUGAAAGGAGAUCUGCAUGAAGGACCAAGCUGGAGUUCACAUGAGAGUGCAAGCCCCCUGCGGACACUGCCCCAGGCCUUCCUCAGGGCCUGGCACACAGUGGGGGCUCAACAAUGGGACACAGGUCUGCAGACAGAUUUCCUGAUGUCCUGAGCCCGUAAGGAGGGCGUUUUCUCAUCCCAAGCAUCCCCUUUGUUUGGCCUGAAUUCUGUCCUCUCAUCUCAAGGCUGUUUGGCCUCAGCACCAGGUGGCUUUAUUCCAGAAAGGACAUGAGCCAGACCUGGAGGCAGAGACCCAGCCAAGGUGGAGAAGGAACAACACAGUCUGUCCCCAAGUGGCCUUCAGCCAGGGAGCUGUGUGCCCCAGUGGCCUCACAAGUUGGCAGGUGUGGGCCUUGGGCAGGGGGCCUGACUGCGCCAAAUGCGUUUUGUAUCUCCCCCUGACUUGGCUUGGCUUUCUCGGCUGGGGCGAGGGCAGGAAGGGAACUAGAAGGCCCUUGUGUUGCAGUUUUGAGCUGACACAGCUGUGUGCUGGGCCACUGCAGGGGUCAGCUGGGCUGCGAGGGGCCUGGGCUCCAGGGUGGGGUCCUCCCCACCACGAGCCCCGAGAGGUUACAGGGAUGAGGGUUUCUGGCCUGCAGGUGGGGUGGGGGCAGUGUCUUGGUGAAGGAUAAACCCCAAAACAAAUCUGCCCAUGGGUUAGGUGGAGGGAUGCCCUACUCCCCUCAGGGCACCACGGGUGGGGCAGAGAAAACCGGGGGGAAGGAGGUGCAUUCCAGGAAGGGAGGGGAGACCCCAGCCAGUGUGAAGGCACAGGCCCCACAGACGCUUGGCUGGGGCAGGCAUGCGGGGCUGAGGGCGGCAGGGCUGGCAGGGCAGUGUGCGGCCCGAGGGUGGGCAGCUGUGGGCCGCAGGCGGGGGCACGGCGCUCCGGAUACUGUGAGACCCCGCGUGUCCUCGAGCAAGGGAAGGCCGCACCCAGCGGUGUGGCUGUAGGGCCAGUCUUACGCGGUAGCCUGGCGAUUUUCUGGCUGUGCCCCUCAGCCCUUGGGGGACCCUGAGCUGAGGAGGUGUGGGGGAGCCAGCUGAAGUCCUGCCUCCCUCCUGUCCUCUUUGUCCCCCACCUCCCCCAAGCCAAUUUGCUCACUGUAACCUGUUUUGUUUCUGAUACAUGGGCUUCUGGGGUUUUAUUUUGGACAAAGGGUUCUGCUGCCUAAAACUUACUGAAACCCUUGGAAAGGGAGACUGAUGUGGUCUGAUUGAAUCCCCAUUUAUCCAUUCGUUAGAUGCGACCUGAGCGUCUUCCCUCCAAGGCCUGUGCCGGGCAACGCUGGGGGCUCAGCCCAGCCCAAACAAGCCCUGCCUGCGGGGCGGCCGCCCAGGGCUCAGGGCUGGGCCAGGGCGAGCCCAGGCUCUGUGAGGGCGGCAGGGGGUCUUGGCCAGGAGGCUUCUUGGUGGGGGUGAAACUCACCCAAAGCCCUAAAGGAUGGGCAGAACUUGGCCUUGGGGCCAGGAGGGAAAGGUACGACCCCCAGCCCUGUGGUUCUCCGCCUGGGUGCUCAGUGAGUCUGGGGGGACUCUGAGCAGCCUACAGGGGUGGGGUGCCCCACCUGCCAGCUUGCGGAAUCCUGGGCUGGUUCCGUGGACACUGGGCAGCGGCAUCUCGGGGCCCCCAGGCUGUGUGCUGAGCCCAGGAAGUCUUGUUCCCAUCAUGCCUCCUCCUGCAGCUCCGAGGUAGGUGAGGGAUGGUGAUGCCCAUUCGUGCCAGGCCCUCACAAGGCGGGACGCUUGGCGUCGCUCGCCCAACUCUGAGAUAGAGACAGACCCUCAAGGGACCGUGUCCUCUCAAGCUCAGGAGAGGAAGGGCCACCGCAAGGGCCACCCAUUCCACCCCCACCUGGCCAGCCUGGAGCUCCCACCCCUCCCCGGGCAUGAGGCUACCAGGCCACGUUGUCAGGCCUGGCUCUCCUACUGGUCCCAUACCACAGGCUGGCAUCAGGGCCCCCGCUGUCAUACCCUCAGCCUUGUGUCCCAGCGCAGGGCUGUCCCAGAGGCAACCUGACAGACCCUUCUCAUGCGGGCCCUUCCUGGGGCGUGAGAUGGCUCUCCGACUGGGGACGCCCGCUGGGAGUCCUGCGGCUGCCCCUCCGUGCUCCGGAAGCCCCCCGCUGCACCACUGGCACCAGGACCUCUCUUCACAUGAGGCUGAACAGUUGCCUCCACGGGGUGUCUUCGGGGAAGGUCCAUCACACGGACAGUGUGUGUUUUAGGCUGAGUUCUCGAACCUCACCUUCUCUUCUGUAGUUGCGGGCCCAUAGGAAGCCCAGCAUUGUCACAGACACGCAGACACGCGGACACUCGCUCAUGAGCUGGCGGGCCAGUGCCCUUGGAACUGCGCACUUUGCUGCCCUGGCUCUGUCCUCGGUCCCCUGGGGGGGCCAGUCUACACAAUGUCCUGGUAAAGUCCCGCCAGCUUCCCAUUCCCUGCCAGCUUUCACUUCCAUGUGCAGCCACAUGGGUGAAGACUUACUUGCUUCCCACACACCUGCUUUCGGUCAGCAACACACGCAGGGCAGCUGCCCUGGCAGGUCUGAGCUGGAAGUCCGAGGUCUGUAGGCCAGAGGUGGUCCUGCAGAUUUAGGCCCGGGCUCCCCAUCCGGACUGCAUCGCCGCUGGGGGUUGGUCACUGUGCCCAGCUGGGGCUGAAGCACGUGCUUCAGGGUUCGCCGGGGCCGCUCAACAGAAACGUUCCGUGCCAGUAGCCACAGGCCCCCCUACGUGUGUCACCUUCCAGUGCAUGUCACUGCACUCUCCAGUUCGGCUCUACUGCCACCUUCAAUGGGAAAUGCAGCCGUGGGAGGCCAGCCAUUAGAUUUCAAGGGCUGUUGCAAAGCCCUUUGUGCCCCUGGCCUGCAGUGUGAGGACAGUGGGGGCCGCUCCUGUCUGGCCCCCAUGCCGGCCCCCACUUCAGGCUCAUUCAUAAGUCAGCCUUGUUCUCCAAUGCCCCUGACAUUCAAUCAUUCAUUCAUUCAACACACAUCUUGGUGGGUCUGCUGUGUUCCAGGCACUGUGCCGUGCACUGGGACCAAAUAGGGCAUGUGGUUGUCAUCCCCAUUUUACAGGAGGGGAAACCGAGGCUCGGAGAGGCUCCCUCACUGUCCAGGGUGUGGAAGGAGAGGCCUGCUGGCUCUGCCCCUGCUCUCAGCUGUACCGAGCUGCAUGCACACCCUUCCUCAGAAAGCUGCUCGCCCUCCCCUUCCAGCCGCGUGGCCACACGUCCUCCUUGGGCUCCUCACGGCCGCCGUCACGGUGACACUGGUCUGGAUCGUGUUCAUGUUUGGGUCCUGCCUCCCCCGUCACCCAGUGGAGUCCGGUUACCCUCGGGCCCCCCGAUGUAGUGAGACAGCCUGAGCACUUAAUGCCCUGAAGUCUGCUCUGCCAGGACCCACCCGGGCACCAACCAGCAGACCGCAGUCUGUGGCCAGCGCAGCCGUGAGGCCCUCACGCACACGUCUGCAUGAGGAUGCCAGCCCCACCCUUCAGAGCUGCCAGGGUGGGAGGGCAGCCUCAGGUCGCAGCAUACACUUCACAUAAAGGGCCCAACUGAUACUGCAUCACACGCAACCUCAAAAGCGUUUUCCCCUUGACUUUAGCCCCGUCAUGCCCAUGCUCAGAGCCACCUCGCAGUGACCCGGGCAGCUCAGACCCCAUGGUGGGUUUCCUUGUCCUUGGGAACAGUGGCAGGCUUGUUAGCAUUACAGGCGGAGGCUGUGUAGUCGAGUUUGGCAAGAUUCAUUUCUUUUGAGUGGGAAUUUGGUGGGGAUGGUCAGGCGGCCUGGCGGAUGUCUGGAUCUGUGGAGAACCCCGACGCGCUCCCCAGUCCUGGUCCAGCCUGAUGUCGCGUUUGGACGUCUGCAGCCUCCGCCCCUGUGAACUCGCUUUUGCCUUCCUGGGGCCUGGGCAGCUCAUUCAGUGUCCACGGCUACAUUAGUUAUCUAAACCUUUCACGGUACCAUGCUUGAGAAAAGGUGCCACAUUCUGUUGGGGAUUCUGCGUCUCUCCCCUCUGCCCUUCCGUGCCCUCCGCUGCGGGCCGUGCCCUGGCUGCUGUGGGUCUAGCUGGCGGGGGCCUUCCUGAAGACGCCCUGCCAGAAAUGUCAAGAACAAUUAGAAGGGGGUGUCAUGCCUCAGGUAGUGGAGAGUCAGCCGCUGGUGCCAGUCUUUCUCCAAAUGAAAUUAUUCCUCAUUUCCUGGUCCUUAAUAAAAUAAUUACUGCCUUUGUUUUCUUCGCACCGUAAAGGAUUUUCUUUAAUGU
Manis pentadactyla (Chinese pangolin) is the source of this 6487-nucleotide long non-coding RNA. RefSeq lists it as uncharacterized. The record is from RefSeq and is a predicted model, not a curated record. The transcript is spliced from 4 exons. Lineage: Eukaryota; Metazoa; Chordata; Mammalia; Pholidota; Manidae.